Molecule: ribosomal RNA, 253 nt
Filed under: uncultured bacterium
Lineage: Bacteria
Description: partial 16S ribosomal RNA
Rfam family: Bacterial small subunit ribosomal RNA
Source: RNAcentral
UACGUAGGUCCCGAACGUUGCGCGAAUUUACUGGGCGUAAAGGGUCCGCAGGCGGUUUAGCAAGUGGGUGGUGAAAUUUCACCGCUCAACCGUGAAACUGCCUUCUAAACUGCUAAACUUGAGGCAGGGAGAGGUCGGCGGAAUUCCAGGUGUAGAGGUGAAAUGCGUAGAUAUCGGGAGGAACACCAGUGGCGAAGGCGGCCGACUGGAACUGUCCCGACGCUGAGGGAAGAAAGCUAGGGGAGCAAACCGG